This 497-nucleotide ribosomal RNA is filed under the name uncultured bacterium. RNAcentral describes it as "partial 16S ribosomal RNA". It matches the Rfam family "Bacterial small subunit ribosomal RNA", at positions 28 to 507 of the family's 1533-position model. The record is from RNAcentral.
GAUGAACGCUGGCGGCGUGCCUAAUACAUGCAAGUCGAGCGAACGGACGAGAAGCUUGCUUCUCUGCUGUUAGCGGCGGACGGGUGAGUAACACGUGGAUAACCUACCUAUAAGACUGGGAUAACUUCGGGAAACCGUAGCUAAUACCGGAUAAUAUUUUGAACCGCAUGGUUCAAAAGUGAAAGACGGUCUUGCUGUCACUUAUAGAUGGAUCCGCGCUGCAUUAGCUAGUUGGUAAGGUAACGGCUUACCAAGGCAACGAUGCAUAGCCGACCUGAGAGGGUGAUCAGCCACACUGGAACUGAGACACGGUCCAGACUCCUACGGGAGGCAGCAGUAGGGAAUCUUCCGCAAUGGGCGAAAGCCUGACGGAGCAACGCCGCGUGAGUGAUGAAGGUCUUCGGAUCGUAAAACUCUGUUAUUAGGGAAGAACAUAUGUGUAAGUAACUGUGCACAUCUUGACGGUACCUAAUCAGAAAGCCACGGCUAACUACGUG